This 319-nucleotide unclassified non-coding RNA is filed under the name Hevea brasiliensis (rubber tree). Lineage: Eukaryota; Viridiplantae; Streptophyta; Magnoliopsida; Malpighiales; Euphorbiaceae. The record is from RNAcentral.
AUUACAACAAGUGUUGUAGGGGAAGAAGAAGAAGAAGAAGGCAAAGCAUCAACCAUGGCUGCUUCAUUAGAAGAUGUUCCUUCAGAAAGCCUAAUGUCUGAAGUUCUCCGCCGUCUCAGAUGUUCUUCUAAGCCUGACAAACGUCUCAUUCUCAUAGGUCCACCGGGAUCUGGAAAAGGUACACAAUCUCCUAUCAUAAAGGAUGAAUACUGCUUGUGCCAUUUGGCCACCGGUGAUAUGCUCAGAGCUGCUGUUGCUGCUAAAACUCCACUUGGGAUUAAGGCAAAGGAAGCUAUGAACAAUGGUGAACUUGUGUCGG